Molecule: non-coding RNA, 86 nt
Filed under: uncultured Devosia sp.
Lineage: Bacteria; Pseudomonadati; Pseudomonadota; Alphaproteobacteria; Hyphomicrobiales; Devosiaceae
Description: Glycine riboswitch
Rfam family: Glycine riboswitch aptamer
About the family: This family represents the bacterial glycine riboswitch. Glycine riboswitches usually consist of two metabolite-binding aptamers domains with similar structures in tandem.
Source: RNAcentral
CACUCUGGAAAGCAGGCUGGACCAGCCUCUCCGAAGGAGCAACCGGCGCUCAGCCGGGAAAUCUCUCAGGGCAAGGACAGAGGGGG